GACGGAGGGUGCUAGCGUUGUUCGGAAUUACUGGGCGUAAAGGGCGCGUAGGCGGCUGCUCAAGUCGGGUGUGAAAGCCCGGGGCUCAACCCCGGAACGGCACCCGAGACUGGGCGGCUCGAGACCGGGAGACGUGGGUGGAAUACCCAGUGUAGAGGUGAAAUUCGUAGAUAUUGGGUGGAACACCGGUGGCGAAAGCGGCUCACUGGCCCGGUUCUGACGCUGAGGCGCGAAAGCGUGGGGAGCAAACAGG
RNAcentral lists this ribosomal RNA (253 nucleotides) under uncultured bacterium. Its description in RNAcentral is "partial 16S ribosomal RNA". It matches the Rfam family "Bacterial small subunit ribosomal RNA", at positions 524 to 776 of the family's 1533-position model. The record is from RNAcentral.